GUGUAACAACUCACCUGCCGAAGCAACUAGCACUGCAAAUGGAUGGUGGUCAAGCGUCCUCACAAUUCUUGACCGUCGGGGCAGUAACAGCCCUUGCGGGUCUCGAAGCCCCGACGAGUAGGAGGGUCGUGGCGGUGAGAGUUGAAGGGACCGGCGUGAGUCGGCCUGCAGAUCUUGGUGGUAGUAGC
RNAcentral lists this ribosomal RNA (188 nucleotides) under uncultured eukaryote. RNAcentral's name for it is "partial 28S ribosomal RNA". It matches the Rfam family "Eukaryotic large subunit ribosomal RNA", at positions 1280 to 1464 of the family's 3401-position model. The record is from RNAcentral.